This 277-nucleotide ribosomal RNA is filed under the name uncultured Streptococcus sp. Its description in RNAcentral is "partial 16S ribosomal RNA". It matches the Rfam family "Bacterial small subunit ribosomal RNA", at positions 1107 to 1382 of the family's 1533-position model. The record is from RNAcentral. Lineage: Bacteria; Bacillati; Bacillota; Bacilli; Lactobacillales; Streptococcaceae.
AUUGUUAGUUGUCCAUCAUUCAGUUGGGCACUCUAGCGAGACUGCCGGUAAUAAACCGGAGGAAGGUGGGGAUGACGUCAAAUCAUCACUGCCCCUUAUGACCUGGGCUACACACGUGCUACAAUGGUUGGUACAACGAGUUGCGAGUCGGUGACGGCGAGCUAAUCUCUUAAAGCCAAUCUCAGUUCGGAUUGUAGGCUGCAACUCGCCUACAUGAAGUCGGAAUCGCUAGUAAUCGCGGAUCAGCACGCCGCGGUGAAUACGUUCCCGGGCCCUU